This 784-nucleotide long non-coding RNA is filed under the name Chinchilla lanigera (long-tailed chinchilla). RNAcentral's name for it is "lncRNA (ENSCLAG00000029132.1)". The record is from RNAcentral. Lineage: Eukaryota; Metazoa; Chordata; Mammalia; Rodentia; Chinchillidae.
GUCACCUGCAGCUAGGUGGGUCAGGAAGACGCUGUGCCACCCAGCUCCUAGUACCCAGUAACCAAGGAGAGAUGGCAGAUGCCCUCCAGGACAGCCAUCUGCACAUGGGUGCGGUCCUCACCAGGGACCAGUCUGGCAGGAGGCACCCCUGUGAUUCCAGUGAUGCCUGCCAGUCCUCUCCUGCUGUCCCUGGAGGGGCCCACGCCUGUGCCCUGAAGGAGUUUCUCCCACGCUGGCUGUGGAUCGUCAGGAAUCCCGCUGGGCCAGGGGACAGCCCUACACAGCGCACCCCAAUUUUGUGGCCAGCCUUCAGGGUGCAAGAGCAGGUGCAGAAAACAGCUGAGCUUCAAAAAUGUGACAGAACCCUUCGACCCUGGGUGUCAGAUACGGGGCCAACUCCCCAAGGCCAACAGGGCGGCCAAUGUGGCUUCCCCUUCACCAGACCCCGCCAUGGCCACCCGGGGCCCCUGCUUGUGGGCUGAGAUGGGUUUGUGGUGGGAAAAAUUCGAGUGGCUGGGUGAGCUGCUUGGUGGUGAUGAGGUCUUCACUCCCUGUGCCCGCGCCGGUUCCCGCGCCGGCCCCGGAGGAGGAGCAGAGUGGCCGAGGGUGACCAGGACCAGGGAGGGCAUCCAGGCGAGAGCAGGGGCGCUGCUCCCCACCUGCCCCUCAUGACACAGUGACCACUUAGCUCUCAUCCACCCCUCACUGCAAGACACUUCUGUCCAUGGAGCCGAGCCCGGGCCGCACGCCAUCCGGGCGUCUCUGCUUCUCUGUCUACUUCCAC